UGCAGAAUCCCGUGAACCAUCGAGUCUUUGAACGCAAGUUGCGCCCGAGGGACCCUCCCGAGGGCACGCCUGCCUCAUGGGCGUUAGAAGCCCAUUCACGCUUGAUUGCCUCACGGCAAAGAUGCGGACAUUGGCCCUCCGAACCUCGAGGUGCGGUGGGCCUAAGUGUGUGGCCGUCGUAUGUGGCCGGGAGCGGCGAGUGGUGGGCUACUGCGCACGUCACCCCCAGCCCCGUACCGACACAGUGCCUUUUUUGACCCCUAACGAGGAGCUUGCCGUUGCGGCUUGCGCCGCGCGGUGCCUUCGGACCGAUACCCCAGGUCAGGCGGGGCUACCCGCUGAGUUUAAGCAUAUAAAUAAGCGGAGGAGAAGAAACUUACAAGGAUUCCCCUAGUAACGGCGAGCGAACCGGGAGCAGCCCAGCCUUAGAAUCGCGGUGGCACUGCCGCCCGA
This 453-nucleotide ribosomal RNA is filed under the name Carex vulpina. RNAcentral's name for it is "eukaryotic LSU rRNA". The stretch from base 312 to 453 matches the Rfam family "Eukaryotic large subunit ribosomal RNA", at positions 1 to 141 of the family's 3401-position model. The record is from RNAcentral. Lineage: Eukaryota; Viridiplantae; Streptophyta; Magnoliopsida; Poales; Cyperaceae.